Molecule: long non-coding RNA, 224 nt
Filed under: Elaeis guineensis (African oil palm)
Lineage: Eukaryota; Viridiplantae; Streptophyta; Magnoliopsida; Arecales; Arecaceae
Description: long non-coding RNA (EGUI_LNC019626)
Source: RNAcentral
AAGUCCAAACAUGCCCAGACUAAGCUACAAUUUUCUUAAGCUCCCUCAGGAGCAUGGGACUCGUCGGCCUCACCAGGGUUCGAGAGGAUGAUGAUUGGGGAGGUUGAACCAAUGUCGUAUCCUUGGCUGCUUGAUCUUUGUGAAUCGAGAUGAUGAGGUCCUCGGCUCACACUCCGUCGACCUCACCGACUCUCUCUUCUUCGCCAUUCGAUUCCAGGGGCCCA